RNAcentral lists this ribosomal RNA (497 nucleotides) under uncultured bacterium. RNAcentral's name for it is "partial 16S ribosomal RNA". It matches the Rfam family "Bacterial small subunit ribosomal RNA", at positions 28 to 507 of the family's 1533-position model. The record is from RNAcentral.
GAUGAACGCUGGCGGCGUGCCUAAUACAUGCAAGUCGAGCGAACGGACGAGAAGCUUGCUUCUCUGAUGUUAGCGGCGGACGGGUGAGUAACACGUGGAUAACCUACCUAUAAGACUGGGAUAACUUCGGGAAACCGGAGCUAAUACCGGAUAAUAUUUUGAACCGCAUGGUUCAAAAGUGAAAGACGGUCUUGCUGUCACUUAUAGAUGGAUCCGCGUUGCAUUAGCUAGUUGGUAAGGUAACGGCUUACCAAGGCAACGAUGCAUAGCCGACCUGAGAGGGUGAUCGGCCACACUGGAACUGAGACACGGUCCAGACUCCGACGGGAGGCAGCAGUGGGGAAUCUUCCGCAAUGGGCGAAAGCCUGACGGAGCAACGCCGCGUGAGUGAUGAAGGUCUUCGGAUCGUAAAACUCUGUUAUUAGGGAAGAACAUAUGUGUAAGUAACUGUGCACAUCUUGACGGUACCUAAUCAGAAAGCCACGGCUAACUACGUG